This 607-nucleotide ribosomal RNA is filed under the name Papuadytes sp. MB659. RNAcentral describes it as "partial 16S ribosomal RNA". The stretch from base 360 to 518 matches the Rfam family "Bacterial large subunit ribosomal RNA", at positions 2473 to 2632 of the family's 2925-position model. Lineage: Eukaryota; Metazoa; Arthropoda; Insecta; Coleoptera; Dytiscidae. The record is from RNAcentral.
CCUGCCCACUGAAAUAUUUUAAAUGGCCGCAGUAAUUUGACUGUGCAAAGGUAGCAUAAUCAUUAGUUUUUUAAUUAAAAGCUUGUAUGAAGGGUUGGACGAAAUAAAAUCUGUCUUUAUUUAAAUAAUAUUAGAAUUUAAUUUUUGAGUUAAAAAGCUUAAAUAUAUAUAAAAGACGAGAAGACCCUAUAGAUCUUUAUAUUAUAUAAAAUAAUUUUAAUUAAGAAUAUUUAAUUUUUUAUUUUAUUUAAUAUUUUAUUGGGGUAAUAAAAAGAUUUAGUUAAUUCUUUUUAAUAUUUUACAUUAAUUAAUGAUUUUAUGAUCCAAAUUUUUUGAUUAUAAGAUUAAGUUACCUUAGGGAUAACAGCGUAAUUUUUUUAGAGAGUUCAUAUCGAUAAAAAAGUUUGCGACCUCGAUGUUGGAUUAAAAAUUGUUUUAGGCGUAGGAGUUUAAAAAUUUGGUCUGUUCGACCAUUAAAUUUUUACAUGAUCUGAGUUCAGACCGGUGUAAGCCAGGUUGGUUUCUAUCUUUAUUUGUUUUUAAUAUUUUAGUACGAAAGGACCAAAUAUUUAAUAUAUUAAUAUUUUUUUAUUUGAAUAUUAUUAAU